This 750-nucleotide ribosomal RNA is filed under the name uncultured bacterium. RNAcentral describes it as "bacterial SSU rRNA". It matches the Rfam family "Bacterial small subunit ribosomal RNA", at positions 61 to 810 of the family's 1533-position model. The record is from RNAcentral.
GUCGAACGGUAGAGGGGGCAACCCCUCGAGAGUGGCGAACGGGUGAGUAAUAUAUCGGAACGUGCCCAGUCGUGGGGGAUAACGUAGCGAAAGUUAUGCUAAUACCGCAUACGAUCUACGGAUGAAAGCGGGGGAUCGCAAGACCUCGCGCGAUUGGAGCGGCCGAUAUCAGAUUAGGUAGUUGGUGAGGUAAAGGCUCACCAAGCCAACGAUCUGUAGCUGGUCUGAGAGGACGACCAGCCACACUGGAACUGAGACACGGUCCAGACUCCUACGGGAGGCAGCAGUGGGGAAUUUUGGACAAUGGACGCAAGUCUGAUCCAGCCAUUCCGCGUGCAGGAUGAAGGCCCUCGGGUUGUAAACUGCUUUUGUACGGAACGAAAAGGUCUCUCUUAAUACGGGGGGCUCAUGACGGUACCGUAAGAAUAAGCACCGGCUAACUACGUGCCAGCAGCCGCGGUAAUACGUAGGGUGCAAGCGUUAAUCGGAAUUACUGGGCGUAAAGCGUGCGCAGGCGGUUAUAUAAGACAGAUGUGAAAUCCCCGGGCUCAACCUGGGAACUGCAUUUGUGACUGUAUAGCUAGAGUACGGUAGAGGGGGAUGGAAUUCCGCGUGUAGCAGUGAAAUGCGUAGAUAUGCGGAGGAACACCGAUGGCGAAGGCAAUCCCCUGGACCUGUACUGACGCUCAUGCACGAAAGCGUGGGGAGCAAACAGGAUUAGAUACCCUGGUAGUCCACGCCCUAAACGAU